Molecule: non-coding RNA, 966 nt
Organism: Fundulus heteroclitus (mummichog)
Lineage: Eukaryota; Metazoa; Chordata; Actinopteri; Cyprinodontiformes; Fundulidae
Source: the annotation of a RefSeq genome assembly
UCCAAGCCGUCAGCAGACUGGUGGGCAGUGGCAGCCUGUACUGAGCGUGAAGGGAGCUUUCUGUCAGACUGGGUGGAGCUGACAGAAGGCUGCUCUAACUCACAGAAGAUCUCUGGACAACUGAGCUGAGCAGAGAAGCAGCUCAGACUCUCAACAAGUCUCCUCCUACCGACUGCAGAGCUGCUGCAGAGACUCCAGCUGAGAACAUCAGGACAAACAUCCUCAUCUGGUUCAGCCUGAACAGCAGGUCCAACAUUUCACCUGUGGAGACAUGGAGCACCUGGCUGUGAUCUGGUUCUUCUCAGCUCUGAUAGGUCAGAGCUUGGAAGCUGACAUCACCGCCGUCAGAUCUCAGGAGUUUUCAUCAGAGGGACGCAGGGUUACUCUGUCCUGUAACUAUUCAGUUAAAGCUAACAACCUCCAGUGGUAUCGACAGGAUCCUGGAUCAGGUCCUCGGUUCCUUCUCCUGAUCACUGAUACUAAAGAUCCAACCGUGGUGGAAGCAAAACCUCCAAACCCUCGACUGACUGCAGAACUGAACGAGCAGAGGAACCGAGUGGACCUGCUGAUCUCCUCUGCUGCAGUGACAGACUCUGCUGUGUACUACUGUGCUCUGCAGCCCACAGUGACAGGAAACAGCAGAACUCUGUACAAGAACCUGCAGUACUCCACAACAUCCACUAGAGGGCCUCACAGGCUGCUCCACCUCUGGUUUGUCAGGAUUCAGUCUGAUUGAGCUGCUGAGAGAAAGCAGACAUCAGAGGCUUUGCUGCAUCAUUGAACUCUUUGUGAUGAGAAGGUUUGGAUCAGAAAGGAGGAGGAUGGUUGCUCCAUGAUGGAGGUGCAGCCUGUGCAGGACAUCAGCAUGGACAGAGCAUUGUUCCUCCUUUAAGAUGUGUCUCCAACCAGUUCUGUGAUGCCUUCAGGCCACUGAUCUUCUACUCAGCAUUAUAUGUUUUUUUAUGC